GGAAGGUGGGGAGUGACGUCAAUCAUCAUGCCCCUUAUGACCUGGGCUACACACGUGCUACAAUGGUUGGUACAACGAGUUGCGAGUCGGUGACGGCGAGCUAAUCUCUUAAAGCCAAUCUCAGUUCGGAUUGUAGGCUGCAACUCGCCUACAUGAAGUCGGAAUCGCUAGUAAUCGCGGAUCAGCACGCCGCGGUGAAUACGUUCCCGGGCCUU
RNAcentral lists this ribosomal RNA (215 nucleotides) under uncultured Streptococcus sp. RNAcentral describes it as "partial 16S ribosomal RNA". It matches the Rfam family "Bacterial small subunit ribosomal RNA", at positions 1168 to 1382 of the family's 1533-position model. The record is from RNAcentral. Lineage: Bacteria; Bacillati; Bacillota; Bacilli; Lactobacillales; Streptococcaceae.